Molecule: ribosomal RNA, 301 nt
Filed under: uncultured bacterium
Lineage: Bacteria
Description: partial 16S ribosomal RNA
Rfam family: Bacterial small subunit ribosomal RNA
Source: RNAcentral
CAGUCGCCACGGUAAUACGGAGGGUGCAAGCGUUAAUCGGAAUUACUGGGCGUAAAGCGCACGCAGGCGGUCUGACAAGUCAGAUGUGAAAUCCCCGGGCUUAACCUGGGAACUGCAUUUGAAACUGUCAGGCUGGAGUCUUGUAGAGGGGGGUGGAAUUCCAGGUGUAGCGGUGAAAUGCGUAGAGAUCUGGAGGAAUACCGGUGGCGAAGGCGGCCCCCUGGACAAAGACUGACGCUCAGGUGCGAAAGCGUGGGGAGCAAACAGGAUUAGAGACCCGCGUAGUCCCUGUCUCUUAUAC